UACGGAGGAUUCAAGCGUUAUCCGGAUUUAUUGGGUUUAAAGGGUGCGUAGGCGGUCGGAUAAGUUAGAGGUGAAAUCCCGGGGCUCAACUUCGGAAUUGCCUCUGAUACUGUUCGGCUAGAGAGUAGUUGCGGUAGGCGGAAUGUAUGGUGUAGCGGUGAAAUGCUUAGAGAUCAUACAGAACACCGAUUGCGAUGGCAGCUUACCAAGCUACUUCUGACGUUGAGGCACGAAAGCGUGGGGAGCAAACAGG
RNAcentral lists this ribosomal RNA (253 nucleotides) under uncultured bacterium. RNAcentral describes it as "partial 16S ribosomal RNA". It matches the Rfam family "Bacterial small subunit ribosomal RNA", at positions 524 to 776 of the family's 1533-position model. The record is from RNAcentral.